AGCGAACGCUGGCGGCAGGCUUAACACAUGCAAGUCGAGCGGGCCUUUCGGGGUCAGCGGCGGACGGGUGAGUAACGCGUGGGAACGUGCCCUCUGGUUCGGAAUAACUCAGGGAAACUUGAGCUAAUACCGGAUACGCCCUUUUGGGGAAAGGCUUGCUGCCGGAGGAUCGGCCCGCGUCUGAUUAGCUAGUUGGUGAGGUAACGGCUCACCAAGGCGACGAUCAGUAGCUGGUAUGAGAGGAUGAUCAGCCACACUGGGACUGAGACACGGCCCAGACUCCUACGGGAGGCAGCAGUGGGGAAUAUUGGACAAUGGGCGCAAGCCUGAUCCAGCCAUGCCGCGUGAGUGAUGAAGGCCUUAGGGUUGUAAAGCUCUUUUAUCCGGGACGAUAAUGACGGUACCGGAGGAAUAAGCCCCGGCUAACUUCGU
Molecule: ribosomal RNA, 432 nt
Filed under: uncultured bacterium
Lineage: Bacteria
Description: partial 16S ribosomal RNA
Rfam family: Bacterial small subunit ribosomal RNA
Source: RNAcentral